RNAcentral lists this ribosomal RNA (317 nucleotides) under uncultured eukaryote. Its description in RNAcentral is "partial large subunit ribosomal RNA". It matches the Rfam family "Eukaryotic large subunit ribosomal RNA", at positions 40 to 350 of the family's 3401-position model. The record is from RNAcentral.
AUAUCCAUAAGGCGAGGAACAGAAACCAACAGGGAUUCCCCCAGUAACGGCGAGUGAAGUGGGAAGAGCUCAACUUUAAAAUCUGGGAGGAAUUUCCUCUCCGAAUUGUAGUUUAUAGAGGCGUUAUCUGGUCUAAUCAUUGUGCACAAGUCCUUUGGAAUAAGGCGUCACAGAGGGUGAGAACCCCGUUUGGGCACGGUCGGUUAGAUCUACAUGAGGCGUCUCUGAGAGUCGAGUUGUUUGGGAAUGCAGCUCAAAAUGGGUGGUAAAUUUCAUCUAAAGCUAAAUAUUGGCGAGAGACCGAUAGCGCACAAGUA